CUCCAUUACUCGACACACGCCUCGAAGCCUCGGCACGUCUCGUAACAUCGCUAAUAAACAGUUUAUCUGUAAAUCAACGUCAAAAAGAAAACCCAGCGCUAUAUGCAAAUUCUGCAACGCAACGCUCACUGAGGCGGCUGGAACCACAUCGAACUUUUACCGACACUUGGAGAGGAAGCAUAAAGAAAGACAAACACCUGAAUGAUCCCCAAGAGUUCUGGGAGAAUAUCCUCCGGAAUGAUGGACAGAACAUUUUGGAAGGACAAUGACCCCAAACACACCUCCAGACUGUGGAAGGACUAUCUGACCUAGAAGGAGACUGAUGGAGUGCUGCUUAUGUCAGAUGAUCUGGCCUCCACAGUCACCUGACCUAAACCCAAUCCAGACGGUUUGGGAUGAGAUGGACCACAGAGUGAAGGUAAAAGAGCCAACAAGUGCUCAGCAUCUCUGGGAACUCCUUCAAGACUGUUGGAGAACCAUUUCAGGUUCUACCUCAUGAAGCUCAUCUGGAGAAUGCCAAGAGUGUGUAAAGCAGUAAUCAAAGCAAAGGGUGGCUAUUUUGAAGAUUCUAAAAUAUAAAACAUGUUUUGACUUAUUUCACACUUUUUUGUUCACUACAUAAUUACUUCACUAAAGAAAGGCGGAGUUAUGUGGCGAUCGGCAUACAUUUGUCCGUCUGUCUGUGAGCAACAUUACUCAAAAACAGACUAAUGGAUUUAGAUGAAAUUUUCAUGGAAGGCCAGAAAUGACACAAGGACCAAGUGAUUAGAUUUUGGCAGUGAUGCAGCUUAUAGUCUGGAUCCACAGAUUUGUUAAAUAUUUCUGUAUCAGUGCGAGAUAGCAGCACGGCGUCACUGUAACCAUGACAAGUGAACACUACAUCAGCUGCCUGCUGAUGAUCACAUGACUGCGAUCCUACUACAAAUCCACCACUGUGGACUUAUCGUGACUUAUCCGACAAAUAAAGCAAAAAUUACAAAAAAAACCCCAAAAACACUAAAAGGAAAAACAAAAUGACCAAAACAAGAAACAAAAUGACAAAAACAUCAGACAAAUGACAAAAGUUAGAAAAAUAAGACAGAAAACAAAAAAACGAGAAAAUACUACAAAAAUGAGACAUAAAAGACAAAAGCGAGAAACAAAAUGAGACAAACGACAAGAAACAAAACAAAAAAAAGACAAAAAAUUUGACAAAAAAAUGACAAAAGCGAGAAACAAAAAGACAAAAAACAGACUAACAACACAAGUGAGACAAAAAACACAAAAACACAAAAACAAUACACAAAACAACAACAAGUUUCAUCAGUUCCUGCCACCCGCUACAUAUUUAGGUCACGCGAUUCAGUAUCUGUACAUAACGUAGACAUGCAUAACACACGUCUGUGCUCAGCGCAAGAUCAUUUUGUUUGUGGGUGCACCUAUAUUAAAUGUUCACAUUCUAUGUUGCCGUGAUUUCUGCCACAGGUUUUAUUAAGAUUUCAGCCGUCAGAAAUGAUACGACUGAGCAGCCUUGGCGGAGUACUGUGCUUUCUGAGUGUUUUUCUUGUUCCAUAUGUGUUCAUUCAUAGUUUAGAUGCCUUCAGUGAGAAUCUACAAUGUAGUCAUGAAAAUAAAGAAAAACCAUUAAAUGAGAAGGUGAGUCCAAACUUUUGACUGCGAGUGUAUGUUCAGUCUUAGCACCAGACAGCACAGGUUUCUUGUUGAAACGCUGCCAAAAUUACUGCCAGCUGUUGUCAAGUGGUCCGACUAGAUCCUACAUGUUCUUUGUUCUGUUUCUCAAAGACGUAUGGAGGGCUUUGAAAGAAAUCAGCAUUUAAUUGCAGUGCUGGAUACACCAGCAUCAGAAUAAGAGUUAAUAACAGUAACUGAUGAAGGGUUUUAUCCCUAAUCAACCACUUAUUGCCUUAAUUCCAACAAAUACAAUCUAAUCCCUCGGAGCGGUGGGGCAGUGUGAACCGAGGAGGCAGAGAGUGCAUCCGUCACUUCCUCCGUCAUAAUCCACCCUCGACAUGUUUGAGGUUAAAGUGGAUUUAAACUCAAAUAACAUUCACUGCCGUUCCUCUCCAUCCCCGAAGUCUGUGCAUCGCCAUUAGGGUAAUGGCAGCCGGGGUUCAUAUGCACGCUAAAAAAUGGAUUUAGGAUCCAUUAGCUUAUUAGGCGCAAAAUGACAUUAUCUUUCCCUUCAAUGUGAACCUCGGCGGCAGCCAUUCAGAGAUAAAUUACGCCGUGGCAACACCCCCUGAUCUGUCAAUCAAUCCUCUUAUCAGUUGGUCUCCCACAGGGAUCCCAAUCAGCCAUUCACUGCAUGCUCUAAAUGAAUGUAAGUGCAGUGGCUGAUCCAUGCAGCAUGUUUGUGGAAGGAUUAAUCCAGACGAGGGAGAUACUGUGAAGUCAAGAGAUAAAAAAAAAGUCUUGUAGGCGCAAACAGCACAAGUGAGACAAAAAAAUACACAAAACGGCAACAACAAUACACAGAACAACGAAUGAAGCAAACAUAAAAUGACAAAAAAUGCAAUCAAAAACACAAAAAGGAAACACAACAUGACAAAAACGAGAAACAAAACGACAAAACAUGAGACAAACGACAAGUCAGACAAAAAAAGUUAGAAAACAACAAAAACAAGACAAAAAAACACAAAAAUGAGACACAAAACGACAAUAACGAGAAACAAAAUAAGACAAACGACAUGAAACAAAGCAAAAAAGAGACAAAAAAUUAGACAAAAAAGUAAAAAAGCGACAGCAAAAUGGACAAAUGACAAAAAUUUGAAAAAAAUGACAAAAGCGAGAAACAAAAUGACAAAAAAAUAGACUAAUACCACAAGUGAGACAAAAAGAAAACAUAAAACGACAAAAAUGAUACACAAAACAACAAAUGCAGCAAACAAAAUUACAAAAAAUAAGAUCAAAAACACAAAAAGGAAUCACAAAAUGACAAAAGCGAGAAACAAAACACCAAAAACUUGAGAUAAAUGACAAAAGUCAGACAAAAAAGGACACAAAACAGCAAAAACAAGACAAAAUAUUACAAAAAUGAGACACAAAACGACGAGAAACAAAAUAAGACAAAAGACAUGAAACAAAACAAAAAAAGACAAAAAAUUAGACAAAAAAGUAAGAAAGCGACAACAAAAUGGACAAAUGACAAAAAUUUGAAAAAAAUGACAAAAGCGAGAAACAAAACAACAAAAAAAUAGACUAAUACCACAAGUGAGACAAAAAGAAAACAUAAAACGACAAAAACGAUACACAAAACAACAAAUAAAGCAAAACACAAAAUGACAAAAAUAAGACAAAAAACAAAAGCAAGACAAAAAGGAAAUGCAAAAUGACAAAAACAAGAAACAAAACAACAACAGCAAGAAACAAAAUGAGACAAACGACAUGAAACAAAACAAAAAAGACAAAAAAUUUGAGUAAAAAGUUAGAAAGCAGCAAAAAAAUGGACAAACGUCAAAAAUUUGACAAAAAAUGACAAAAGCAAGAAGCAAAAUGACAAAAAAAUAGACUAACAACACAAGUGAGACAAAAAGGAAACACAAAAUGACAAAAACGAGAAACAAAAUGACAAAAACAUGAGACAAACGAAAAAAAGACGAAAAAAAACAAGACAAAAUACUACAAAAAAUGAGACAAAAGAACAAUGAACAAUCUACUAUUUUACAACUUGUCAUGGUCUAGAAAUUAUUUUAAACUUAUAGUUUGACAAAGUCACAAUUUGGAAUUAAUGUCUUCUCUGUAAUUUUUACACUUUAUAAAGUCGUCCCUUGGGCCGGAUUAGACCCUCAGAGGGCCGGUUUUGGCCCGCGGGCCGCAUGUUUGACACCUCUGGACUAAUCAAUUAACAACCUCUCUGGAGUUACCAGGAGACAGAUUCCAUCCAUCCAUUAUCUAUACACCACUUAAUCCUCACUAGGGUCAUGGGGGGGCUGGAGUCUAUCCCAGCUGACUCAGGUGAAGGCAGGGGACACCCUGGACAGGUCACCAGUCUGUCACAGGGCUACAUACAAAGACAAACAAUCACUCUCACAUUCACACCUACGGGCAAUUUAGAAUGAUCAAUUAACCUCAGCAUAUUUUUGGACUGUGGGAGGAAGCCGGAGUACCCGGAGAAAACCCACGCAUGCACAGGGAGAACAUGCAAACUCCAUGCAGAAAGAUCCCGGGAAAGCCGGGACGCGAACCAGGGAUCUUCUAGCUGCAAGGCGAAAGUGCUAACCACUACACCACUGUACAGCCCCAGGAGACAGAUUAACUCCUUUUAUUAGUGGGGGGGAGUCAACAAGCCUUUGCAGAGCUAACAAGCCUCCAACCAGCCGGUUCACUAAAACACUGGGACGCCGUCAACAAGGCGACAUUUAUAGCAUCAAAACAGAGCAGAGCUCAUAUUUUAUGCUACAUAAUAAACAUGCACGAUGCAUUUAUGUGCUUCCAGCUUCCCGUCCUUGACAUUUCACAACCUUGGCUGUUGUUUCCCCGCAGAUUUGUUUGAAUCUAUACAUCGCGAAGCCGCCGGAACUUCCAGUGUGGCCUCGGGAAGGACGAAUAAGGAAUGAAACGGUCUCUGAAGGGUUAGCCGCGCUCCAAAUUGGAAUCUCUCCCUUCUCCUUGCUUCAUUAUCGCAAACUCGCUCUUUGUGUCUGCUCGGAGGCUAAUUAAGGAGGGGGUGGGGAGGACGGAGGGAGCCAGAGAACAAGACCCCACUGAUGGAAAUCAAAUGAGAAGGACAGGAACGGGAGAAUAGAGGAAUAAUCGGUCGUCUGAUGAACGCUCACUGUGCCCUUGAUGAAUGGCGCCGGUGCCUUCCGAAAAUGGAUGAGAGGAGUGAGACGAGAGCCAGGGACAGACUGGACUCCAGAAAAUAAAAAAAAUAGAGAAAAAAGAGGACUAGGAAGAACCAAGAGUAAGUAGAAUCAGCUUAAUUUAGUGGCUGGAAUCUUAAUAGGAGCCCCCUACUCGCUCCCAGACAGACCACAGAGCACAAAUUGACUUGCCAGGAUUCAUUCCUUUUCCUUUCUCUCACGGCUGCAGCCGGUCGGUCGACUUUCCAGUUUACACAAGAAAUUCACUGCAGCUGGAGCUUUAGCUGCAGCUAACAGCUGUUUUCUCUAUUGCUAAGUUCAUAAACAACAUCCCUGAGUUUUAAAAAUUCAAAAAACUAUUUCUUUCUUCAAGGUGGUGCAACCAAUUUACGUUUUUUACGUUUCCUUUUCCUAUAAUUGCAACAAACCGGUGUUUUAUACAUUGAUCAACCUUCUGAUUAUUUUCUAAUUACAUUAAUAAAACACUUCAUCUUUAAAAAUUCCAGAAACUACUUAUUUUUUAAGGUGACAUAAUUAAUUUAAAGAUGUAUUUUUUGAGUGGGGGAAUAAUUUGGCUUUCUUCAAUGAAAAAAAAACUGAAAAAAAAACUUAAUUAUGAAAAACUUGACUAAUUAAUUAAUCAAUGUCGAGGUCCAAGGCGUCGUCUUCAAACUGCAAAAUCCAAAGAUGUUCGGUUUAUUCUUACUAAAACAUACAGUUAAAAGCAUUAAAUCACACCUGAGAAGCAAAAAGUUGGUCAUUUUGGGUGUUUUUGGUUCAAAAAUGACUUUGGAGUAAUCAAUAAUCAAAGUAAUGGAUCAUACAUUUCCUGUCAACUGACAAAGGAGCAAUAAUUCAUCAUUUUUCCGCCCCUCAUGGUUGAGCAGCACAAGCAGGGAGCAUUUUGUUCCUCUCCUCCUCUCUACCUUCUCUGGGAGGUCAAUCAAUCACUUUGAGUUUCCUUUAAAUCCUUUGUGACAAGUGACCUUGCAAAAUGGCUUUUGUCAACAUCUCUGCAUUGUAAUUCAUGCUAAACGGCCGAGCUAUGACGGUGCCAGUGCAGCAUCAUUCAAAUUGGUCAACUAAUCUAAUACAAAAGUCCACUUUAUUAAAUAAACCAUGUCUCAUGCCAUGUCUGAAUGGAAUAAAUUCUCUCCAGCUAAAGCAAAGUCACAUCAUAAGGAAAAGAGCUGUUUUUCUUCCAGGACAGUGCUUUAAAUGCACAGAUUUUUAUUUAUUUUUUUUUUAGUGUCCAGUCAGUCCAGCAUGAGGCAGUCGUAUAUUUACCUUCCAUCCCUCAGGCUGUAAAUUUUACAGCAUGUUUCCGUUUGAUUAACAGUAGGCCUGUUGCUGCUCUUCUAAGCAUUCCUAGACAUGAUAAAACCCCAGUCGGGCCAAAGGACGGGAAGUUUCACGAUCUCAAUUUACUCAGUCGCUGAUUUUUAUAAUAAAAAAAGAAGUACGUGUGAGACAAAAGGAUCAGCCACAACAUUUAUACCACCUGCUUUUUGUGUAGCAUCUCUGUGGUAUCAAAAAACAAGAUGUUACCAGCAGCUUCCAUGCAUCAAAGUCAGGUCAAUUUGUGUUAAUUUGACAGAAUUCAGCAAAUCUGUUGCAGCACUGUCUCCAAUUUUUAGUUUUUUUGGUAUUUAAGACCCAACUGUGUGCCUCAAAAGACUGUAUUUUUAGUAGAAACAAGAAAAGCAAUCAGAAAGUGCAGUACUCCGUCAAGGCCGCUCAGUCGAAUCAUUUCCGACGGAUGAAAUCUUGAACAAAUUUGCGGCAGAAAUCAUGGCACGUAGCAGGCAGCGGGAAUUGAUGGGACUCAGAAACACCCCCACAAUUUAAUCAACUGUUCCUUGUAUCAUUUCCGGCAGAUAAAACCCGAUAAGUCAGCAGUGGUGGAUUUGUAGUAGGAUCACAAUCAUGUGAUCAUCAGCAGGCAGCUGAUGUAGUGUUCACUUGUUGUCAUAGUUACAGUGACACCAUGCUGCUAUCUGGCAAUGAUACAGAAAUCUUUAACAAAUCCGUGGAUCCAGACUAUAAGCUGCAUCACUGCCAGAAUCUAAUCACUUGGUCCUUGUGUCAUUUCUGACCUUCCCUGAAAAUUUCAUCCAAAUCUGUGAAUCUGUUUCUGGGUAAUGUUGCAAACAAACAGACAGACAGACAGACAGAAAAACAAACGUAUGCCAAUCGCCACAUAACUCCACGGCAUUCCUUGGUGGACUAAAUAUGGAUAGAACUACAUUUCUAUACACUUAUAGAAACUUUCUUGGGCCCCAGUGUCACCCUUGUUUGGAAAUUUGGCACUUUUUUCCAUUUUCAAGGGCGAAUAAAUAAAAAAUUUGGCCUCUGCUGAAGCCGUUUAAAUAAUUUUGAUUUGCUGGAAACUCUUCUGUCUGUGUCCUCACCAAAUUUUAUGGCUGCGGGAGUUUUAAGGAGAAAUUUAACACAUUACAGUUGCUCCCAUUCAAAGUUUUGGAAAUAUUAGGUAAGCAUAAGUAGAAAAAUAUCCUCUAAAAAAUUAAACGUAAGUAGAAAAAAUUAUGUAAAACUGUACACUGUUCUAAGAGAAAUAAAAACGUACACUACCAUUCAAAAGUUUGGGGUCAAUUAGAAAUGUUCUUAUUUUUGAAAGAAAAGCAUUUUUUUCCAAUGAAUAUAACAUUAAAUGAAUGAUAAAUCCAGUGUAGACAUUGUUAAUGUGUUAAAUGACUAUUGUAGCUGGAAACAGCUGAUUUUUAAUGGAAUAUCUCCAUAGAGGUACAGAGGAACAUUUCCAGCAACCAUCACUCCUGUGUUCUAAUGCUACAUUGUGUUAGCUAAUGGUGUUGAAAGGCUCAUUAAUGAUUAGAAAACCCUUGUGCAGUUAUGUUAGCACAUGGAUAAAAGUGUGAGUUUUCAUGGAAAAUAUAAAAAUUGUCUGGGUGACCCUAAACUUUUGAACAGUAGUGUAUGUGUAUAGUCUUUUUCUGAGGGUAGAAAUGUUUUUGCAUUCAAGGUCUUAAAACCUAGUUCUCGAAAUUAAUCCAAAGCAUUUUUAAAAACUUAACAAAUAAGUAAAUUCUGAAUAGUGCAGCAGCACCUCAAUCUAAAAUGGCAUAAAAUGAACCAGGAGUGAGAAUUACAGUCUUUUAAGUUGCAAAAAGAAGUGUGAUGCAUUCACUAAAAGCUGCAAGGGACACUGAGACAAUGGAUUAUUUAAUUUAGUAAAUUUUUAUAGUAACAAUAUCAAAGCAUUUGGCAGGUUCAGCUUCUCAUGGGUUAAUAUUUGCAGACUGGAAAAUUAUGCAUUUUUCUCAUUUUUUUUAACCCUCCAGUUGUCUUCACUUAUGGUCACCCAAAAAAAUACUGUUUCCUUGUCUGAAAAAAAUCCAAAAAUUCAGAAAAAAAAUUCCCCAAAUUUCUGAAAAUUUGCAAAACCUUCAGGAAGAAAUAAUUCCUUAAAAGUUUCCCUUAAAAGUUUUUUUUUUUUUUUUUUUUUAAAUCCCCCAAGUUUGGCAAGAAAAUUCUUGUAAAUAUUUUCAAAAAAAUGAGUAAAAAUCUUCAAAAAAAUCAUAAAAAUAUCUAAAGUGACUACAGAUAUAUCCGUUAAACUUCUAAUAUUUUCUUUGAGAACAUUCACAUAAAAAUCAAGCAAAAUCCAGCGAAAUUUGCUGGAUUUUGGUUGAUUUUUUUUUGUGAAUGUUCUUUAGAAACAUUUUUAACAUUUUUUUUUCCCACCAAAAAAUAUUCCAAGAUUUCCCAAAAAUGUUGAAAAUGUGGACAUCAGAAGUUUCACUGUGAACAUCUAUUUUUUCUUUUCUUUUCCUGAGGGAAAUCUGCAGCGUUUGGAGGCCGAGUCGACGCCUUGAACUCCUUUUCAUGGUUCCUACAGCGUUCCUGAACACUUUGUGCAGCGUGGCAGCGAGCAUUGUCGUGCUGAAAGAGGUCGCUGCCGUCAGGAUGUAGUCGUGUCGGGGUGGACGUGGUCUGCAGCGAUGUUCAGGUUGUGUCACGUUAACAUCCACAUGAAUGCAGGACCUGAGGUUUCCCGGUUGCUCGGAGCAUCACGCUGCCUCUGCCUGCUUUUUUUCCUUCUUUUUCUACAUCCUGCUGCCAUCUCUCCCUCUAGUAAACAACACAACGUCCAGCUUUCUACACCAUGUGGAGGAAAACAUGCUCCGUGUUCCAGCUGUGACACUCGUGUGGGCAGACUGACCACGCUGUAGGUUCGCCACGAGCUGCCGUGAACCACGUGUUCUCAUGACUGAAUACAGCCAGAAAGGAGGUUUACAGGAAUCUGUGCUGCAGCGGCUUCUUGGAAACAAAUCACACGGACAACACUUCACUCCCAGCAUGCAUCAGUGAGCUCUGGGCGACCGUGACCCUACUAACCACCACAGAAGACCUGCCAUGUGGGAGAUAUUCUGAUGGUCAGGAGCCUCUGUAGCCAGAUAAUCAUGUUUUUAACUGGCUUUUAACUGGUUUUAAUGUUGUGGCUGAAUGUUAGGAUCCACAGCAGCCAUGUGUUGUGUUGGGAGGUGUACUGAGGGAAGCAGAAAAGGGUAAUUUGUCACCAAGGCAGACAGAAAAAGAGAGAAACUGCAACAAAAAAAGAGGAGAAUAAAAACAAAACAGUGGCUUUUGUCCAUGACAACAAAUGUUCCCUCUUCAGAGACAAACCUGGCGAGCGGCUACAGUUUGUUUACUGUACUUGUACAAUCACACUAUCAAUAGAUAUCCUUUGUAGGUAUUAUUCUAAUCUAUCUGAAAACACAGGCGGUACAGAAACACACCACGUCUGAUGAAUAGACUGCUGUCACGCCAACACAAAGAGCUCUCACACUCUGUAGGGUAAACGUGGAUUUUUAAUGUGACGGCAAGACAAUCCACGCUGUCACACGACGCAUAAAGCAGCCGAAAGGAGGAAAUGUGUAAAAUGAACACAUUUUAACGUUUACAAGACGGUUACGCAACGCAGAGAAGUUUAAAAAUAACACCUCGGGUCCGGGAUCGCUCUUUAAAGACACAUUUCAAAGUUAGAAAAGUAGCUGGAAUGAAGAGAACGUGCAGCUCAGGUUAAAAAUAGAAACCUAAUUGUCCCAAGAGAAGGAAAAAAAACAAAUAAAAUGUGACAAAAAAAGCAUCUACACCAAUAAAACAAACACUAAAGACAGCUUUAUCCAGGAAGGACAGAACAUUCAGGCUCUAAACUUUAAAGUGACCUCCUACAGAAACAUCUUUUUGUCUCCUCAACGUUGAAAUAUAUUCAAAUUAUGCAGAUUAUCUUUGUUUCCAAAUAGGAUGAAGAAAAUUUUAAAAAGGAGCUGUUGUGCAGUUUCUUGCCAAAUCGUCGGCAUGUCGUGUGAUUCAUAUUAAUUUGGCAGGUGGACAGUUUCCUCUCCUCAGCGGCAUAUCUUUAUGUAAUCUCUACGAUCCUGGAGCUUACGUAAAUGUAACUGCACAGUAGUAAACAGAUAAUCCCCCCCCCCUCGAAGGAGAAAAGUUACAGCGUUUACUGUUUGCUCCAGCGCCUAAAACAAUCUAUUUACCUGUCAAGAACCCGCCACUCUGUACUGUUGAAAACAAAAGCAGAAACAGCGCAUUGUUGUCAGUCCCUCAAAAACUCUUACGCUCUUUCAGUGGUUUUUUUUUCCCCAUAACGAUCCAGCAAAUUGCUCGAUGGAAUUGUACAAAUCUGCCAAAACACAGACAAACAUUUAUUUCUUUACUCGGUCUGUGCACUGCAUCUAUAUGACUCAGCAGAAGACAUUUAAUGUGACUAAAAUGCAGAGAUUUUUUUUGCCAAACUUUGCUCUAAUAGUUAAUAAAACUGUCCGGCAGUGACAGAUAUGAAUGUUUGAGCAUCAAAUCCAGUAAACAGUGACAGAUUUUGCAGAGUGAACUGAUAAAGUGGCAUCAUAAAUGAUUUGAAAGCAUAAAUUAAGCUUUUGUUGAGGGAAGAAGUUAAAAAUUGCCAUCUUUUGCCAUUUACUGAACACAGGUAUUUAUUUAAUUUCAUAUCAUAGAUAGUAAAACUGUCAGCAAUGAGGAAUAAGUAUUUCUGUCAAUUAUGAGCAUAAAAUGAAAUCAGUACAACUAUAUUUUGCAGGAAGUGGAUUGGAUAAAAAAAUGGCAUUUAAAUUAUAAAUAAUUAGAACCCAUGAAUUAACCUUUGGUUGUUGGAAAAAAGUUUAAAUUUGACAUCUUUUGCCACUUGCCUUACACUAAUUUUCAUUAUCAGCAAUGACCAACAUCAAGUUUUUAGGUUGAUAAUAAGGACCAAAUCAUUCGAGUAGACUGAAAAAAAUAGCAUUUUACUUUAUAAAAUGAUUAGAAACCUUAAAUAAAUCUGUUUAUUAACACAGGUUUUCAUUUAAUUUCAAAUCAGAGUUAGUAAAACUGUCAGCAGUGAGGAAUAUUAAGUAUUUCCAUCAAUUAUGAGCAUAAAAUGAAGUCAGUACAACUACAUUUUGCAGGAAGCGGAUUGAAAAAAAUGGCAUUUUACAUUAUAAAAAUAUCAGAAAACAUAAAUAAAUCUGUUUUUUUUUUAACACAGGUUUUUUAUUUUAUUUCAUAUCAUAGUUGUUAAAACUGUCAGCAAUGACGGAUAUCAAGUGUUUAUGUUAAUUGUGAGCAUAAAAUGAAGUCAAUAUGUCUUAAUUUUGCAGAAAAAAUGGCAUUUUACAUUAUAAAUGAUUAGGAACCAAAACUGAACCUUGAAACCUGGAAAGAACAUUUUACAAAAUUGCCAUCUUUAGCCAAAAUCAAGCAGAAUAAUGUAGUUUAAAGUAGGACUAAGGUGUUAAUCCCAUAAGGAUAGGGUUAGACACUAGAAGUUGCCAUUUAUUUACAAUUCCCCAUUAAGAAUCAACAUAUUUCCUAUUUAAACUUGAUUACAACCCUCUCCCAACCUUUGACAAGUACUUUGCUUGAUAUUUAAGUUAGUAAAACUGUCCCGCAGUGACAAAAAUCUAUAUUUAUGUUGAUUAUGAGCAUGAAAUCAGGUCAGUACAGGUAGAUUUUGCAGAGCAUGGACUAAAAACAAGUACUUUAUGAAUAAUUCCAAAGUUUAAAUUAACUUUUCAUUGUGGGAAAAAAAAGCUAAAAAUUGGUAUCUUUUGCCAUUUCUUUCACACAGGUAUUAAUUUCAUUGUUAGCAAAACUGUCCAGCAAUGACGAAUAUCAAGUAUUUAUGUCAACUGUAAGCUUCAAAUUUAAUAAAUACUAAUAGAUUUCUCAGGAAGUGAACUGAAAAAAAUCGCAUUUUACAUGAUAAAUGAUUACAAAAGAUAAAUAAACCUUUAAACUUGGAAAAAACCUUUUAAAAAUGCCAUCUUUUGCCAAAAUCAAGCAGAAUAAUGUAGUUUAAAGUAGGAUUUAGGUGUUAAUCUCGUAAGGAUAGGGUUAGAUACAAGAAGCUGCCAUUCAUUUACAAUUCCCCAUUAAGAAUCAACAUACUUCCUAUUUAACUUUGAUUACAAUCCUCUCGUGACCUUCGACAAGUACUUUUGUCAAACUUUGUUCGAAAUAUAAGUUGAUAAAACUGUCCAGCAAUGACCAAUAUCAAGUAUUUAUGUCAACUGUGAGUUUUAAAUCAAAUAAAUACCAGUAGAUUUUGCAUGGAGUGGACUGGAAAAAUGGCAUUUUACAUUAUAAAUGAUUAGAAACCAGACGUUUACCUUGAAAAUUGGAAAAAUAUUGCCCUCUUCAAGCAGAAUAAUGUGGUUUAAUGUAGAACUUAAGUGUUAAAGUUGCCAUUUGUUUACCAUUUCCCUUAAAGAACGAAUAUAUUUCUUAUUUAACCUUGAUUCCAUACCUCUCCUAACCUCCAACCAUAAUCACAACUGUUCCUUUAAUCCUAAUGAAGCAGUGUUUAUGUGUGAACCUAAGCUAACCUCAUCUGACAGGAAACACUCCUGUGGAUUGUGUUGCAAAGCAAAAUGUAUUUUUCUCAUUUGGUUUGCAGGUCAAGCAGCCCAAGGACGGAGACCAGAGUGUCCCAAUUCUGAGCUUUUAAAAUGAACAAGCGAGUUAGCAUUUGUCUGGCCAAUGAGCUGAGACUACUUUACCUUGGGUGGCCCAGACAGGUGCUCACGGUGCUUUUAGCCGCACUGAGGCAUACAAAAAACCCUCCACUGGGAUGAGACUGCAAUUUGUUGCAACAUCACUUUAAAACUGAGCAAACAGCUACUUUGCCGAUGCUGUCCAUUUAUUUUCUAUCCUAACCAGACCUCCCACUUCUGCAGCAGCUUCUGCAGCAGCUCCUGCAGCGCUUCCAGGGUUAAACUGAGGUGUUUCCAAGCCAGUAGAGAGACAUAAUCUCUGUAGAUCUGCCCUGAGGUCUCCACUUAACGUAGGAAUCAUCUGGGAGGCUUCUUAGAUUCCCAGACCACUUCAGUUGUCUCUCUUGGAUGUGCAGCAGCAGCGAUUCUACUCUGACACCCUGCUGAAAAACCCGACUCUUAUUCUUUCGGUCACUAUUUACAGUUUGCGGCUCUAAGUGGGGGUAGGAGAAGGAGAUUAUCAUGAUUUUAAACAAUCAAAUCAGGAAUAACGCAUCACAAAUCCCAAAUCUAAAUCACUGGAUGUACAUGUCCGAUAAUAAAUUUAUUUAUGUUUCUUCAUCAACAGGAAGGAUCGAUGAUGUGUCAUUUGUUUGUGGCUCCAAUGAUGUUCGAAUCAUACUCUUCUUUAAAAGCACAUCUAAUUACACAUUUUUAGAGAUUUGCUUUAUGCAAUUUUAUGUGAGAUUUGGAUUACUAUCGUUUAAUUUUAGCCUGCAGUUGAUUUUCUGAAUUUAUUUAUUUCAUUGCUCAUUUUAUUCUCUUUUACUCUAUAUUUUUUUACUUAUUUAUGAAAUUAUUUUAUUUAUUUUCUAUUACUAUUAUUAUUAUUAUUAUUAUUAUAAGUAGUAGUAGUAUCAUUAUUUUUUGCCUUGUGUUUAUGGUUUUACUUUGUACUUUCUUUAAUUACACUUGUUUUUUCCCUUA
Molecule: long non-coding RNA, 13777 nt
Organism: Amphiprion ocellaris (clown anemonefish)
Lineage: Eukaryota; Metazoa; Chordata; Actinopteri; Pomacentridae
Exons: 3
Source: RefSeq, a predicted model, not a curated record